ACGCUCGACACCUACGGGGGCAGCAGUGGGGAAUAUUGCACAAUGGGGGAAACCCUGAUGUAGCGAUGCCGCGUGAAGGAAGAAGUAUCUCGGUAUGUAAACUUCUAUCAGCAGGGAAGAAAAUGACGGUACCUGACUAAGAAGCCCCGGCUAACUACGUGCAGCAGCCGCGGUAAUCUGAGCGGGCUGGCAAGGC
Molecule: ribosomal RNA, 196 nt
Filed under: uncultured bacterium
Lineage: Bacteria
Description: partial 16S ribosomal RNA
Rfam family: Bacterial small subunit ribosomal RNA
Source: RNAcentral